UCAUUACUCAAAUUAUCCGCACCAUGCGAUCACCCUUUCGUAACUCCAUUGGUGUGAAUCGCAUGUAUAAACUUGAUGCCUGUGGCGAUAAUUACCGACCACAUAAUCCCAAACUGAAUAGCCUUGUGACGUACACCUCCAAAUUAUCUCUAUGUCAUUCAUCAUAAUGUUAUAUACGUGCUGUUCAAAAUCAAUUAUAUACUUCAUUUGAAAAUAUUCUAUAACCGUUGAAAAGAAAAAAUACUAGAAAGAAUAUUUUCGAUCGUUUAUCUAAACUAGUUAAAAAUCUCCCUGUAAUUCUGAUUUUCCAUAGUCUUAAAAAUGUCUAUUGUUAAUUCAAAAUACAAGAGUUUAUUUACAAAUAUCACUUAAUUUAUACUAUCCUUUAUUUAUGUUAUGAUAUUUACGAUAAAAUAUGUUUUCGAUCGCUUAUGGAUCUACACCAUCAAUACGAUGAAAAAAAUAACAGCAGACAUCGUCCUUUUUAUACAGGGUAUACGAUUCGAAUGACACGUUACUGUUGAAGCGUCUUGCGCAUGCUCAUUCGAAUAACGGUGCGAAGAAAGUCCGAGAUAUUAGACAAUGGAUAGGUUUGCUCGGGAUAGCUUUGAAAGUUGCCGACGUGAAAUAUAAAUGAGAUUACGUCACAUGUUUAUGAUAAUUUGCUUUUUCUCUGUGUGUCGAGUUUCCCGACGUUGUGAAAAAAAAUUUGCUUUGGUUAACCUACGAAUAUAAAAAAAAGCUUAACUUCGAAAGCUAUCGUUUCAAAAACUGACAAAUAUAUUUAAUUUAUUAUCGAAUUCGAUAGAGAAAGAGAAAACAUGAGUGACAUAUUUCAGUUACGAUUUACAUUCAAUAAGACGAUAAUACCUAUCGCGUAUGGUGCUCUGAUCGUGAGACAUUGAAGAUAGUUGUUCAUUAAAAAUAAGAAAACGUGGAGGCUGUCCGUUGCCUCGAACGAUCAGAAAAAUGAUGUCAGCGAUAAGUCAGGUUACUGCUUUUUUCUCUCAUUUUAUUUACGAUGACGUCACCGUCGAAACGGUCGAUUAUUCGUAUGCAGCGUGAGCCGGAAUGAUCGUGGUCUUUCGUGCUAAGCAAAAUCAAGUUCCAACGACAUCAGAAUUUGUAUACGAAUGAUUAAUCGGACAUUAAAGGAGAAAAUCUUCAAAGUCAAAUCAAUCGAGUGGAAAUAGUUAAACUAUUUCUAUACAUAAGCGGCAUAGAACGUCGUCAUCGAUGCAUCCGCCAUACUAAGUUAUUACCAUAAACAACGAUUCUUGCGGUGAAGCUGUUGGCAAUCAUCAUGGUAACGUGGGCGACAGGAAAGAAAUAAAAAAGGUACGAACCGACGAGAAGAUUUCAUCGAUAACAAUUCCACGAAAUCGUGACUUACAAUUUAAAUAUUUUUAACGAUGUUACAUUAAUUUUUAUAAAUAAUAUGAUAAGAAAAAGAUAACGAAUAAUAAAUCAAAAACAAAC
This is a long non-coding RNA of Vespa crabro (European hornet), 1479 nucleotides long. RefSeq lists it as uncharacterized. The transcript has 3 exons. The record is from RefSeq and is a predicted model, not a curated record. Lineage: Eukaryota; Metazoa; Arthropoda; Insecta; Hymenoptera; Vespidae.